Molecule: non-coding RNA, 207 nt
Organism: Vicia faba (fava bean)
Lineage: Eukaryota; Viridiplantae; Streptophyta; Magnoliopsida; Fabales; Fabaceae
Source: the annotation of a GenBank genome assembly
AUGAAAAGUCUUUUUUUAUUAGUUAAACAUGAAAUAGAUAACAAGAAGAGGAAAUCAUUAUCGAAAAAACUGCCGCGGACCUUCACUCAAACGCUCUGCGAUCUCCACCGCACACCUUCAUCCAUGUCCAGAUCGAACCACCGUGUAAGUCAUCUCCCUAUGCCCAGAACCAUCGAGGUCGCGCUCACACAUAAAUCGACCACCUAA